AAAAUGGGCUGUAAGUUUAAAAAUAAAGCUACCACACGAUUGAUACGUAAUCAAAGUUCUAAGAAAAAUUAAGGUUGUAAGUCGGACUUACAGCCCAACCAAUCAUGCACUUAGUUUGGUCCGUUUAAAGAUUUUUUUUUUUUAAUUUAGGACCGCUCUUGUGAUUGAAAUAUAAAUAGUUCACUAAUCACCAUGAGUUAAAU
Molecule: small RNA, 203 nt
Filed under: Arabidopsis thaliana (thale cress)
Lineage: Eukaryota; Viridiplantae; Streptophyta; Magnoliopsida; Brassicales; Brassicaceae
Description: ATSL081800
Source: RNAcentral